Molecule: ribosomal RNA, 698 nt
Filed under: uncultured bacterium
Lineage: Bacteria
Description: bacterial SSU rRNA
Rfam family: Bacterial small subunit ribosomal RNA
Source: RNAcentral
AGAGUUUGAUCCUGGCUCAGGACGAACGCUGGCGGCAUGCCUAAUACAUGCAAGUCGAGCGAAUGAUGAAGAAGCUUGCUUCUUCUGAUUUAGCGGCGGACGGGUGAGUAACACGUGGGCAACCUGCCCUGNUAGAUUGGGAUAACUCCGGGAAACCGGGGCUAAUACCGAAUAAUCCAUUUCCUCUCAUGGGGAAAUGUUAAAAGACGGUUUCGGCUGUCACUACAGGAUGGGCCCGCGGCGCAUUAGCUAGUUGGUGAGGUAACGGCUCACCAAGGCGACGAUGCGUAGCCGACCUGAGAGGGUGAUCGGCCACACUGGGACUGAGACACGGCCCAGACUCCUACGGGAGGCAGCAGUAGGGAAUCUUCCACAAUGGACGAAAGUCUGAUGGAGCAAUGCCGCGUGAGUGAAGAAGGUUUUCGGAUCGUAAAACUCUGUUGUGAGGGAAGAACAAGUACGAGAGUAACUGCUCGUACCUUGACGGUACCUCAUUAGAAAGCCACGGCUAACUACGUGCCAGCAGCCGCGGUAAUACGUAGGUGGCAAGCGUUGUCCGGAAUUAUUGGGCGUAAAGCGCGCGCAGGCGGUCCUUUAAGUCUGAUGUGAAAUCCCACGGCUCAACCGUUGGAAGGUCAUUGGGAAACUGGGGGACUUGAGUUACAGAAGAGGAAAGUGGAAUUCCAAGUGUACCGGUG